AAAAACUUGGAAAUUUUUAUUGAAACUUUGCAGGAUGUUUAUUUAGUCAUUUAUCUAUUAGUUUAUCACAAAAAAUUGGAAGGAAAUGUAUUGCAUGAUGGAUUUAACAUUAUCAAGUUGAUUAUAUAGCGAGCUGGCAAACAUUGUAAGUGUAGAAAAUAUGUAGUAAUUAAUUAAAGAAGUUUAAACACACCAUAAUCAUUUAUAUAUAAUGAAUUAGUACAAUAUUUUACACUUUAUACAUUGCAUGGUAAGAUACAUGAGUGACUUAGUACCACAUAAAGUUCCUAUGAGGUUCAAAAUUUUGACUAUCUUCAUCAUCUCUAUGUGUAGAGUAAGUGUAUUGUGAAAAGUAGUCAUCAAAUGAUAAAUCCCCAAAAUAGUUUUGCAUGUAAUUGUUAACAUGUCACCAUAUGGAUCCGAGAUUAAUUAUCACCAUUUGUUUUUUACAAAAAAUAGAUCCGCAAACUAAACACAAUCCAAAAAAAAAUUUAAUUUUGUUCAACAAAAGAUUUAAGAGAACCAAAAAUUUUAAUUUUGUUCAACAAAAGAAAAGAACAUUAAUGUUUUUGUUCUAGCAUGUGUUGAAACAUUGGAUCCCUUUUCAAUUGCCUUGAGCCAUGAACAACUCUCAUUUUCAAACCAACCCGUGUAUAAAGAAAAAGGAAAUGCUUUUCAGAUUCCCAACCACUCUCUCACUCUCUCUCUAGAAUAUGAGAGAUGCUCUCAUUUCUCCAACCUCAAGCGCAGCGCCCGUUCUUACAGCCUUCUCUCUCAUAGCUCUUCAUUAUUGUCUGCAACCUGAAGUCCAGCAACAUACACACCUCCGUGUCUCUAUAAUCAUGAAAACUGAGAUGCAUGAAGGUAAAUCCCUCCUCCAUGUGUGUUAAUUUUUUUGUUCUUUCGUUUCAGAUUUAUGUGUUGGACUGAAAUAGAGUGAGAUCUAACACAUGCAUGUGCUUUCGUUUCAUAUUUAUUUCUAUUUUUAUUCUUAACCUCUGAAUAUUUCCAUCAAUUCUGGAGGGUUUUGAUUUAGUUUGGUGAAGGAAUAGAACUGAUUCUAACCCUGGACAAUUUCUACAUCUUCUCUGCAGAAUCUGGUAAGCUCCGGCGAUGUCAAAGAUCUGGAGGAUGAGCGACAGAGCAAGUCUGGGAGGCGAUCCAAACGACGCAACCUUGGCUGCCUUUUCGACGACAGAGCCACGAGAUUGUUUCUCGAUAUUUUCAAUAUUAUCGAUAAUAUCGCGAUAUUUUGACGACAAUUAGAGAAUACGUGGGAAAAUAUUGGUUUCUCUGAUAAACGAUAAUAUCGGCAAUAUUAUCGAUAUUUUAGUCAUUGCACUCGCCUAACUACUUUAACUCUACAGCUAAGAAAGCUCUCUUGAAUUAAUGACACAAUAUGUUAGAUAUCCCUUGAAUUAAGGACACAAGACAGCAACCUUCUUACAUUCCUUAGCUGAUGUAAACAGCCAACCUCCUUACACUCCUUCCAAUAACUUUAACUUUACAGCUAAGUAACUUUAAUUUUACAGCUAAGAGAGAACUCCUUCCAAUACUCCCCCUCAAGCUGGAUCAAAGGGGUUG
Molecule: long non-coding RNA, 1584 nt
Filed under: Malus domestica (apple)
Lineage: Eukaryota; Viridiplantae; Streptophyta; Magnoliopsida; Rosales; Rosaceae
Description: long non-coding RNA (MDOM_LNC009480)
Source: RNAcentral